ACCCUCUCAGCUCUGCCCAGUUGCACCAGACGUCAGUGGCGCACCUGUCGUUUAUCGAGAGGAAAAGUAAACUGGUUCCUGUUUGCACGGCAGUGAGACUUGGUGGUCUCCCUGUUCCUUUUCAGAACCCACAGAG
RNAcentral lists this small nucleolar RNA (136 nucleotides) under Pogona vitticeps (central bearded dragon). Its description in RNAcentral is "Small nucleolar RNA SNORA64/SNORA10 family (ENSPVIG00000017927.1)". The record is from RNAcentral. Lineage: Eukaryota; Metazoa; Chordata; Lepidosauria; Squamata; Agamidae.